CCCUUGGGAGUCGGGCUACGCGAAAGAGUCCCCCUCCCUCCCUUCUCUUCUCCUGCCUUGCUGCCCUCCAGCUGAGGCCCUUGGAGGAAGCAGAUGUGGGCCCCUUCGGGCUCGGUUGGAGUGAAGCCAGAGGCCUGGGGGCGCUUCGGGGGGCUGGGGCUGGGGCUGCGGUUAGCCCGCCAGGCCCCUGGCCUUCUGCGCCUGCGUCCCCCCUAGAGAGAAGUCAGAGCAAAUUCCAUUCCCUUUGGAGCAGCGCUGCUAGAGGCUGUGGGCACAGCUGGUGCUCUGCAUAUUCAGUGUCACGGAUAAGAAAGAACAUACAAUAUUUGUCUUUUGGGGACUGGCUGCUUUUACUAAUCAUAAUGUUUUUCAACUGGAUCCAUUUAGCUGCAAAGGACAAGAUUUCAUUCUUUUUUAUGUUCUGUCAGAUGUAUCCGGAGACUGUCCUGUGCGAGACACAGGCCUCUGUCCAUGGAUCCUGGGCCUCUACCAUCGUCCCAAAUACUGCACCUCAUCCCAGCACCCCAGUGAUGGAACCAGAGGGAUGCUGCACUCUGCCCCAACCAUCCUGUGUGCCGCCUGCUGGACAAGGGACGGGAGCUUGUCAACCUGGAACCCCCG
Ochotona princeps (American pika) is the source of this 621-nucleotide long non-coding RNA. RefSeq lists it as uncharacterized. The record is from RefSeq and is a predicted model, not a curated record. Lineage: Eukaryota; Metazoa; Chordata; Mammalia; Lagomorpha; Ochotonidae. The transcript is spliced from 3 exons.